GAUGAACGCUGGCGGCGUGCCUAAUACAUGCAAGUCGAGCGAACAGAUGAGUAGCUUGCUCCUCUGACGUUAGCGGCGGACGGGUGAGUAACACGUGAACAACCUACCUAUAAGUCUGGGAUAAAUUCUGGAAACGGCAGCUAAUACCCGAUAGUCAUCUUUAUCGCAUGCUUUACUAGUGAAAGACGGUUUUGCUUGUUGUUAUAGCUGAAUCUCAGCCGCUUUUGCUAGUUGGUAAGGUAACGUAUUACCAAGGCAACGCUUCGUAGCCGACCUGAAAGGGUGAUCGGCCACACUAGAACGGAGACACGGUCCAGACUCCUACGAGAGGCAGCAGUAGGGAACAGUACGCAAUGGGCGAAAACCUGACGGAGCAGCGCCACGUGAGUGAUGAAGGUCUUCGGAUCGUAAAACUCUGUUAUGAGGGGAGAACAAAUGUGUAAGUAAAUACGCACGUCUUGACGGUACCUAACCAGAAAGCCACGGCUAACUACGUG
Molecule: ribosomal RNA, 497 nt
Filed under: uncultured bacterium
Lineage: Bacteria
Description: partial 16S ribosomal RNA
Rfam family: Bacterial small subunit ribosomal RNA
Source: RNAcentral